GGAGAGGAGGUGUGGCGACAAAUACAUCACUGAAGGAUCUGGUCCAGAGUGGACUUGUUCUCGGCAUGGACAUGACGCCCCAAGCUGCUUUCACCAAACUCAGCUACGUACUGGCGACAAACCUGAGUAUCGAGAAAAAGAAAAAGUUGCUGCUGCAGAAUCUUAGAUGCGAAAUCACGGUGAAGACAUCUGAUUCUGAAGAGAAAA
RNAcentral lists this unclassified non-coding RNA (207 nucleotides) under Haliotis rubra (blacklip abalone). RNAcentral describes it as "thrombospondin-2-like, transcript variant X2". The record is from RNAcentral. Lineage: Eukaryota; Metazoa; Mollusca; Gastropoda; Lepetellida; Haliotidae.